RNAcentral lists this long non-coding RNA (803 nucleotides) under Capsicum annuum. Its description in RNAcentral is "long non-coding RNA (CANN_LNC021787)". Lineage: Eukaryota; Viridiplantae; Streptophyta; Magnoliopsida; Solanales; Solanaceae. The record is from RNAcentral.
UUCAUUGAGUUAUAUAUAUUAUAGAAAAUGGAGAAGGCAUCAACCGCUUUGCUCUCUCUUAUUGUCUUGUUCGUUUUGUUGGGUAAGGUUUCUUUCCCCCGCUCCACCUAUCCUCGCUCUUCGUCUAAUUAGCAUAAAAUAGAGUUGUAGCUAGUGGCAGAUGUAGAAUUUUCACCAAAAAAUUCAUCAUCUAUUAUAUAUUACUUUCUAGAAAAGAGAAAAAAAAAAAAACUAUAUUAUAUAACAUGAUUUUCUAACAAAGAGAUUAGAUGAACCCCUCCCACCUCCGCCCCCCUCAAAAUCUACCCCUAGUUGCAACCUUUAGAAUAAAAUUCUAGCUAACUCCAUGUAUAAUAGACAUAGUUUUUGUUUGAUUUUAUUAGUGAUCAUUGAUAAUAGAUUGAAUGUUUUUGAUAAACAUAGUAAAAGUAACAUGAAAGAAUCUAUAGUAUUAAUUUCUAAAUAUUAUUCUUGAAUUUAAUUAUUGAUCUUAAUAUUUCUUUUGGUUCGUAGGUUUACCAUCAUUUAUGGUGUUGGGACAAGAAAAGUUUCAAACUGAAACAAAUGGUAAUCCUGCACUUUUCAAACGUGGAAUAAGGAAGAAUGUUGUUGCUUGCAAGAAUGACAGUGAUUGUAAAAAGUUAUGUUCUCCUAAAACUAUAGCAGAUUGUCUGGCUGGACAAUGCUUUUGUAGUGAUAAUUAAGGCCAAAACUAAGACAUGUUUUGAGUUAUAAGAGAACAUUUUAUUUAUUGUAGUGAAAUUAAAGCGCAGUUCAUCAAAAGGAUGCUUACAUUUUCUUCA